GCGGGCGGUCAGGCUCGGCGCCGGCCCGCGCUGGGUGAAUUCCGCACGCCGGGGCGCUUUCGGGGAUCCUCUUGGAAGCACUUACGUAACCGAGUGCGCCGGGACUGGCUGAAGGGAGACCGUCCCGCAGGACGCAAGAAGAACAUCCGCAUCGUUCUUUGGGAAUCCUCGCUCUGCAGCCUGCAGCCGGGACUCCAUUUUGCCUCCGGUGCCUUGUGACCUCGCCUGGCCAAUCACAACAGUGGCUGGCUCACGGACGGGCACGUGACUUCAUUACCAAUCCUUAUUUGGAGUCUGCUCUACACUGGGGCUUCCUAGGUGCAAGAUCCAGUAAACCCUCGUCUCUGCCUCCGCCCUUUUUCUCUCCUUACACUAGUUUAUAGUGGGUUUUCUGUAAACCUGCAAUAGAGUCCUAAUGGAUAUAUUGGUGACUAUUUCUAAAAUUUAAAAUUAAGCAAUAAAGAAUUAAAAUAAAAUUU
Long non-coding RNA from Lemur catta (Ring-tailed lemur), 479 nucleotides. RefSeq lists it as uncharacterized. The transcript is spliced from 3 exons. NCBI's taxonomy places the organism in Eukaryota, Metazoa, Chordata, Mammalia, Primates, Lemuridae. The record is from RefSeq and is a predicted model, not a curated record.